ACGUAGGACGCGAGCGUUAUCCGGAAUUACUGGGCGUAAAGGGCCAGCAGGCGGCUUGGUAAGUUGUGCGUGAAAGCCUCGUGCUCAACGCGAGGAAGCCGGACAAUACGGUCAAGCUAGAGGGCAUCAGAGGGGACUGGAAUUCCCGGAGUAGCGGUAAAAUGCGCAGAUAUCGGGAGGAACACCGAUGGCGAAGGCAGCUCCCUGGGAUGCACCUGACGCUAAGAGGCGAAAGCUAGGGGAGCGAACAGGAUUAGAGACCCUGGUAGUCCUAGCUGUAAACGCUGGGUGCUAGGUGUGGGACGUAGAAGUUCCGUGCCGGAGCAAACGCGAUAAGCACCCCGCCUGGGAAUUACGGUCGCAAGGCUAAAACUCAAACGAAUUGACGGGGCCCCGCACAAGCAGCGGAGCGUGUGGUUCAAUUCGAUGCUACACGAAGAACCUUACCUGGGUUUGACAUGUACGUGGUACGAAGGCGAAAGCAUAAGGACCCUUCGGGGAGCGUACACAGGUGCUGCAUGGCUGUAGUCAGCUCGUGCCGUGAGGUGUCGGGUUAAGUCCCGUAACGAGCGCAACCCUUGCCGUUAGUUACAAGUGUCUAAGGGGACUGCCGGCGGGAAGCCGGAGGAAGCUGGGGAAGACGUCAAGUCAGCAUGGCCCGUAUGUCCAGGGCUACACACACGCUACAAUGGUCAGUACAAAGGGUAGCGAAGUCGCGAGGCGGAGCGAAUCUCAACAAAGCUGAUCGUAGUUCGGAUUGCAGGCUGCAACCCGCCUGCAUGAAGCUGGAGUUGUUAGUAACCGCGCGUCAGCCAUAGUGCGGUGAAUACGUACCCGGGGCUUGUACACACCGCCCGUCAAGUCAUGGGAGUCGGUAACGCCUGAAGCCGGUAGUCUGGCCC
Molecule: ribosomal RNA, 902 nt
Filed under: uncultured organism
Description: bacterial SSU rRNA
Rfam family: Bacterial small subunit ribosomal RNA
Source: RNAcentral